This 309-nucleotide unclassified non-coding RNA is filed under the name plant metagenome. Its description in RNAcentral is "partial contains 5.8S ribosomal RNA, internal transcribed spacer 2, and large subunit ribosomal RNA". The stretch from base 1 to 104 matches the Rfam family "5.8S ribosomal RNA", at positions 51 to 154 of the family's 154-position model. The record is from RNAcentral.
AAAUGCGAUAAGUAGUGCGAAUUGCAGAAUUCAGUGAAUCAUCGAAUCUUUGAACGCACAUUGCGCCCCUUGGUAUUCCAUGGGGCAUGCCUGUUCGAGCGUCAUUUGUACCCUCAAGCUCUGCUUGGUGUUGGGUGUUUGUCCCCGUCUCCGCGCGUGGACUCGCCCCAAAGUGAUUGGCAGCCGGCGUACUGGUCCCGGAGCGCAGCACAUGUCGCGCAAACGAGUGCCUUGGUACGGCGGCGUCCAUAAGCCCCUCUCUCACGCUCUUGACCUCGGAUCAGGUAGGGAUACCCGCUGAACUUAAGC